RNAcentral lists this ribosomal RNA (1214 nucleotides) under metagenome. RNAcentral describes it as "SSU rRNA". It matches the Rfam family "Eukaryotic small subunit ribosomal RNA", at positions 502 to 1774 of the family's 1831-position model. The record is from RNAcentral.
UACGGUAUUGCAAUGAGAACAAUUUAAAACCCUUAGCGAGAAUCAAGUGGAGGACAAGUCUGGUGCCAGCACCCGCGGUAAUUCCAGCUCCACUAGCGUAUAUUAAAGUUGUUGCAGUUAAAAAGCUCGUAGUUGAACCUCUGUCUGGGGCUAGUUUUGGCUUUGGUCAGGCUAGUUCUAGGCAUCCGCCUACAAGACUUAGAGGGCAUUCAGUUGUUCACUAGGAGGAGUAGGCAUUUUACUUUGAAAAAAUUAGAGUGUUUAAGGCAGGCAAUCGCCCGCAUAUAUUAGCAUGGAAUAAUAGAAUAGGACACUUUUCCAUUUCGUUGGUUAUUGGAAUCGUGUAAUGAUUAAUAGGGACAGUUGUGGGCAUUUGUAUUUAAUUGUCAGAGGUGAAAUUCUUGGAUUUAUUAAAGACAAACUAACGCGAAAGCAUUUGCCAAGGAUGUUUUCAUUAAUCAAGAACGAAAGUUAGGGGAUCAAAGACGAUCAGAUACCGUCCUAGUCUUAACUAUAAACUAUUCCGACUCAAUGUUUGACUGGCUUAUAUAACCAGUUGAGCGUUGUAUGAGAAAUCAAAGUCUUUAGGUUCUGGGGGGAGUAUGGUUGCAAAGCUGAAACUUAAAGGAAUUGACGGAAGAGCACAACCAGGAGUGGAUUCUGCGGCUUAAUUUGACUCAACACGGGGAAACUUACCAGGUUAAAACAAUAGUGGGAUUGACAGUUUGAGAGCGCUUUCUUGAUUGGUUGGGUGGUGGUGCAUGGCCGUUCUUAGUUGGUGGAGUGAUUUGUCUGCUUAAUUGCGUUAACGAACGAGACCUUAACCUGCUUACUAGACUGGCGAUCAUCAAUCGUUAGCUCUUCUUAGAGGGAUUUUGGUUGUUUUAACUCCAAGGAAGUUUGAGGCAAUAACAGGUCUGUGAUGCCCUUAGAUAUCCUGGGCCGCACGCGUCAUACAAUGACUAGUUCAGAAAGUUUUCUCCUGACCCGAAAGGGGAUGGGUAAUCUUGAUAAUACUAGUCGUGUUAGGGAUCGAUCUUUGCAAUUAUAGAUCUUGAACGAGGAAUUCCUAGUAAGUGCGGUUCAUCAGACCGUACUGAUUACGUCCCUGCUCUUUGUACACACCGCCUGUCGCUUCUACCGAGUGGGUGGUCCGGUGAGAUAAUUGAACUUCGCAGGUAACUGAGAGGAAAGAUUAUCAAACCUAUCCACCU